Molecule: ribosomal RNA, 253 nt
Filed under: uncultured bacterium
Lineage: Bacteria
Description: partial 16S ribosomal RNA
Rfam family: Bacterial small subunit ribosomal RNA
Source: RNAcentral
GACGAACCGAGCGAACGUUAUUCGGAAUCACUGGGCUUAAAGGGUGCGUAGGCGGGCCGUCAAGUCAGGGGUGAAAGCCUCCAGCUCAACUGGAGAAGUGCCUCUGAUACUGGCGGCCUCGAGCGAGGUAGGGGCGUGCGGAACUUCCGGUGGAGCGGUGAAAUGCGUAGAUAUCGGAAGGAACAUCGGUGGCGAAAGCGGCGCGCUGGACCUCUUCUGACGCUGAGGCGCGAAAGCCAGGGGAGCGAACGGG